This is a long non-coding RNA of Ipomoea triloba (trilobed morning glory), 165 nucleotides long. RefSeq lists it as uncharacterized. Lineage: Eukaryota; Viridiplantae; Streptophyta; Magnoliopsida; Solanales; Convolvulaceae. The record is from RefSeq and is a predicted model, not a curated record. The transcript is spliced from 3 exons.
GCACUACAUUAGUUUCUGGGAAACAAAAAAGAUUCAUGGAGAUUGUUAUUCAAGAUCAUGAAUCCGGAACCUGUUGUGUUGAUAAUUCAGAUGUGUCGUGCAAAAAUGUAUAAUGGUGAGGUUUCAAUCACAAAUACAUUUGGUGCCACUAAGCUUGUGAUGGAU